RNAcentral lists this ribosomal RNA (392 nucleotides) under uncultured Chrysophyceae. Its description in RNAcentral is "partial small subunit ribosomal RNA". It matches the Rfam family "Eukaryotic small subunit ribosomal RNA", at positions 30 to 432 of the family's 1831-position model. Lineage: Eukaryota; Chrysophyceae. The record is from RNAcentral.
GCUUGUCUCAAAGAUUAAGCCAUGCAUGUCUAAGUAUAAGCCUUUGUACGGCGAAACUGCGAAUGGCUCAUUAAAACAGUUAUAGUUUAUUUGAUGGUUCUUGCUACUUGGAUAACCGUAGUAAUUCUAGAGCUAAUACAUGCAUCAAACCCCGACUUCUGGAAGGGGUGUAUUUAUUAGAUGGAAACCAAUGCGGGGCAACCCGGAUUCUGGUGAUUCAUAAUAACUUUCGGAUCGAUCUUCGGAUCGAUGCAUCAUUCAAGUUUCUGCCCUAUCAGCUUUGGAUGGUAGGGUAUUGGCCUACCAUGGCUUUAACGGGUAACGGAGAAUUAGGGUUCGAUUCCGGAGAGGGAGCCUGAGAAAUGGCUACCACAUCCAAGGAAGGCAGCAGG